Vicia faba (fava bean) is the source of this 252-nucleotide non-coding RNA. The record is from the annotation of a GenBank genome assembly. NCBI's taxonomy places the organism in Eukaryota, Viridiplantae, Streptophyta, Magnoliopsida, Fabales, Fabaceae.
AUGGGCCUAAUUCUGUCUACUGCAAAUCAUAAACGAAUAUGGCUCACAAUAUAUUUUGAAAAAGAAAUUUGGUACACAAAUACGAGUUCAGAAACAAUAUCAAAUCAUCCAGUAGAAAGAAAUAAAGUCAGGAAUCACAGCUCCAUCCCAAUAGCAAAAUCAACAAAAAGGCCUCAUUCUUUUUUCUCACACAAUAAUAAGAAUUUUGGGUUUAAUCAUAGGCCUAUAACUCCUAUUGCAAAUCACAAAUAA